Molecule: ribosomal RNA, 396 nt
Filed under: uncultured bacterium
Lineage: Bacteria
Description: partial 16S ribosomal RNA
Rfam family: Bacterial small subunit ribosomal RNA
Source: RNAcentral
AUACGUAGGUGGCAAGCGUUGUCCGGAUUUACUGGGUGUAAAGGGCGCGUAGGCGGGAUUUUAAGUCAGAUGUGAAAUGUCGGGGCUCAACCCCGGAACUGCAUUUGAAACUGAAGUUCUUGAGUAUCGGAGAGGCAGGCGGAAUUCCUAGUGUAGCGGUGAAAUGCGUAGAUAUUAGGAGGAACACCAGUGGCGAAGGCGGCCUGCGGGACGACAACUGACGCUGAGGCGCGAAAGCGUGGGGAGCAAACAGGAUUAGAUACCCGGGUAGCCCACGCCGUAAACGAUGAAUACUAGGUGUAGGGGGUAUCGACUCCCUCUGUGCCGCAGUUAACACAAUAAGUAUUCCGCCUGGGGAGUACGGCCGCAAGGUUGAAACUCAAAUGAAUUGGCGGG